Molecule: long non-coding RNA, 450 nt
Filed under: Rosa chinensis
Lineage: Eukaryota; Viridiplantae; Streptophyta; Magnoliopsida; Rosales; Rosaceae
Description: sRNA RchiOBHm_Chr1g0371121
Source: RNAcentral
UUAUAUGUUUUGAAAUAAAGUUGUAAUUUCUUUGUGUUGAUUUCUAUGUUGCUUAUGUGAGAUUGCUUAAUUGAUUUUGGUUUAUAGAAAACUCUUAUAUGUAUGUGUUCUUUGGUGGCCAACUUGGGAUAUAUGCAUGUAAUUGGUGCUAGAAUUAGGUAAACAAUUCACCUAAUAGUUUUGUGAACCUAUUUCAUAAGUAGUAAAGGCUUUGGACAAAAGUCGAAAUCAAUUAAGAAGGAUUGCAAAUAGAUGAACUUUUUCAUACUAGGUUGUGCACUUUGGUUGACAUCCUUUCUUUGUUCUUUAUGCAUUGAAUGUGUGCUUUCACUUAGAUCAAUUAUUCAAGGAAAGUAAAAUAUGGGAAAUCGUUUGCUUAUUAACGUUUCACAUGGUCAACUUAUUUCUCAUGACAUUAGAUAAUCAACUAUAGGAAUUGUAAUUGGAUUU